RNAcentral lists this transfer RNA (65 nucleotides) under Abachrysa eureka. RNAcentral describes it as "tRNA-Asp". The record is from RNAcentral. Lineage: Eukaryota; Metazoa; Arthropoda; Insecta; Neuroptera; Chrysopidae.
AAAAAGUUAGUUAAAUAAUAACAUUAAUAUGUCAAAUUAAAAUUACUUAUAUAAAGUACUUUUUG